AUACUUACCUGACAGGGGAGAUACCAUGAUCUAGCAGGUGGUUUUCCCAGGGCAAGGCUCGCCCCUUGCACUCUGGGCCUGCUGACCCUGCAAGGGAGAGUGAUGGAGAAAGUGGAGGAGUUAGGGCAGCAGUCAUUUA
Molecule: small nuclear RNA, 139 nt
Organism: Crocodylus porosus (Australian saltwater crocodile)
Lineage: Eukaryota; Metazoa; Chordata; Crocodylia; Crocodylidae
Gene: U1
Rfam family: U1 spliceosomal RNA
About the family: U1 is a small nuclear RNA (snRNA) component of the spliceosome (involved in pre-mRNA splicing). Its 5' end forms complementary base pairs with the 5' splice junction, thus defining the 5' donor site of an intron.
Source: Ensembl